RNAcentral lists this ribosomal RNA (232 nucleotides) under Salmonella enterica subsp. enterica serovar Uganda. RNAcentral's name for it is "partial 16S ribosomal RNA". It matches the Rfam family "Bacterial small subunit ribosomal RNA", at positions 1 to 231 of the family's 1533-position model. The record is from RNAcentral. Lineage: Bacteria; Pseudomonadati; Pseudomonadota; Gammaproteobacteria; Enterobacterales; Enterobacteriaceae.
AAAUUGAAGAGUUUGAUCAUGGCUCAGAUUGAACGCUGGCGGCAGGCCUAACACAUGCAAGUCGAACGGUAGCACAGAGAGCUUGCUCUCGGGUGACGAGUGGCGGACGGGUGAGUAAUGUCUGGGAAACUGCCUGAUGGAGGGGGAUAACUACUGGAAACGGUGGCUAAUACCGCAUAAUGUCGCAAGACCAAAGAGGGGGACCUUCGGGCCUCUUGCCAUCAGAUGUGCC